This 203-nucleotide ribosomal RNA is filed under the name uncultured bacterium. Its description in RNAcentral is "partial 16S ribosomal RNA". It matches the Rfam family "Bacterial small subunit ribosomal RNA", at positions 1298 to 1500 of the family's 1533-position model. The record is from RNAcentral.
CUGGAGUCUGCAACCCGACUCCACGAAGCNGGAUUCGCUAGUAAUCGCGCAUCAGCCACGGCGCGGUGAAUACGUUCCCGGGCCUUGUACACACCGCCCGUCACACCAUGGGAGCCGGUAAUACCCGAAGUCAGUAGUCCAACCUCGUGAGGACGCUGCCGAAGGUAGGAUUGGCGACUGGGGUGAAGUCGUAACAAGGUACC